ACGAAUGCAGCUGAAGUGGCUCCGUAUCAGGUUCAGGGGACGUCGGAGGACGUGUCGGCUUUCGGCAAGAUGUCGUCGGUCGAGACGGUCCUGCGACCAGUCUGCAGUCCUGUGGGGAGCCGGCCAACAGCAGUUGCCCCCAGCCCAGAAGGUCGGUCGGGAGGUGCCUCUGCACUCGUGCAGAGAACGUACAGCCGUUCGUCCGGCGGUCCGGGGACGACUGAGGAGAGUCGUGAAUUUUCACGCGUGCAGCGCAGGCCCUUGAGUGGGCCGGGUCGCCUCUGUUCGUUUGGGCCCCGCGGUGGGGACUGCUUGCAGUGUCUGCUGACGGUCAGUCCGCUCGGUCGGGGGGUCGGCCACGCCGUGCGCUCAGGUUGUUGGUGCUCAAAUGGCUGCAUCCGA
This 402-nucleotide ribosomal RNA is filed under the name Demospongiae sp. GW5940. RNAcentral describes it as "eukaryotic LSU rRNA". The record is from RNAcentral. Lineage: Eukaryota; Metazoa; Porifera; Demospongiae.